UUUUUUUUUCUUUAUAGUGUUGGCCCGUAAGGCCCGUUAAUUUAGAGAGAUGGGUAGAGACGCAUCGACACUCUGGAACCCUAAUCUCUUCUCUCUCGCGCAAGACCGACGAUCUCCUUCUGAGCCCUUUCAUCUUCUUCCGUUAGUCGUUCACGUUUUGUCAUUCAAUCCACCAUCAAACCUUAGGCUGAGACGAUGAAUAUCUUCUGCCUCUCCUAUCUUUGUCGUUUCCGCUACUCCAUCCCUGUGUCUUUAUAAAUUAAACAUUUUAAAGCUUCUUAUGCUCUUUGACAAAAAAAAAAGUCUCUUAAGCUCCCACGAACAGGCCCUGUAACACUACCGUCGAAACUUUGUGUUCUCAGAUUUUGCAAGGUCGGGAAUCGGGAUGUGAUAAGAAAUGGCAAGCUUAUGGGGUCGGUCUACUUCUUCUUGACGCUAAGCUUAUGCAGGCCCGGAUUGCAAAUCUUUAACGAGUCAUAUGAUUAUGAACUGACGUGAUCAAAUCAGAAGCCAAUCUAAUCCCAUGAGAUCUUCCCGUAAGGGUCAAUACCUAUGGCCCAGAUUGCAAACUUUUAAAAGAAAGUUGUUCAAGUAGAUGUCAAAGGUCUUGGCGCCACCACAUCCAUUGGUCAAACACUGGAUCUUUGUCAUGAGAAACGACCAACCUCCUACAGCUAUUUCAGGAAUGCAAUAGCUGAAAUAGGGAGACUAUUGAUGUUCGAAGCAUCUCGAGAGUGGCUGGAAUGGUUUCCAGAGGUAGGACUUUCUAUGCAACAAUUUUGACGAGCAAGCAACAGUUCACUGGAGAAGAAGAAAUAGGAGUCUCGAGCACACACGGCUCAGAUUCACGCUGAUGUCUUUGUAGCUGGUGUGGAUGCAUCUGUUAGCUGUCGCAGGAGCAACCGCUGUGUCUUCCAGCUUUGGGAAGGACGAGAAAAUGGCUAAGUCAGAAGUAGCAGUUGCCACGACCCUUGCGGAUGCUCUGUAUAUGAAGGAUGAUGAAGUGAUUGCAGCUAAGCGAGAGCAUUUGGCCUUAACAGUCAAUGAGACAAUGAAGAAACCUUCAAGAAUGAAGAUUGUGGACAAUGAGAAGAGCGGGAGAGUAACUUAUCAGAAACUCAAAAAGCGUUGUUGAAAGAUUUGAUACCAAUCUUGACAACUAGGACAUCAGUGACCUGUACAAUAUUUGGAUCCGUAGCUGUUGUAGUGGGUCUAUAUGAUAAAGGGAGAUUGAAUUUGGAGCUUGAGGUUUGAUUGAUAAGUGUGCAUUGAACUUAGUUUUGAGGACCAAUCAGACACUGUUACACUUAUGUUCAAGGUCUUCAUCAAGAUAUCAGUAGGGAAAGUUCUUCAUCAAGAUAUCCGUAGGGAGAUGGAUCACAAAGGAGGACAGUUAAUAAAGAUAUGAAGUUCAGUUAUUAAAAGAAUAAUUGCACACAAAAGAAAAAAAAUGAAAACUCUUGCGGAAAACGUACUCUAUAGAAUGUAGGACAACCUUAAUAUAGCUCAUAAUUGUAACACAAACCCAAAGUUAGUAGCCAUUAGUAUCUACAAACCUUAACAUUUGGUUAAACAACUAAAAUCUGGUACUGAUCUGGUAUUGUAAAACGAUUAGAACUCCAUAUUCGUCUUAUUCAAAUAAUAUAUAACACAUUCAAUAACAAAAUAUAAAACCCACGGCACCUUGAAAUACUUUACCACUUAAGUAAUUUGUUGGUCUUUUCGGCUCUAUUCUUUGUCUUCAAUCUUUGAUUUGGGCUACAAUAGUAUGAGUCUUACGAUAAUCAAAUAGCAAUUAACUAGAUUUAGUCUUUUGUUUUGAAACAAACUAGAUUUAGUUCAUCGGUCAAUUUUCUUUCUACGUUCAUAUAUGGUCAUUAAUUUAUCAUAAAUGUAAUUAUUUUAAACCUUUAGAAUGACGAGGGGUUUGAAAAAACUUCAAAAUCAACGUGCCGUUCACCAAUACUACAAAAUAGAGGAGGCAAAAACAUUGGUACAAUGACGGUUAAUUUUCAAAUCAAUUACAUGGAAGCCAAAAAGAGAAGUCAAUGCAACUCCGAGUCCGAAGUAUUUUAUGUCCCAAAAUAUUUUCUUGCGAGCUCUUUUGAGCAAAAACAUCUAUCUAUUUGUAUUUAAUUGAUAACUAAAAGCUGGUUAUGAAAUAAAAAUUUCUGUAUUGAAGAAAUCUCUAAGAAUAAAAUUCUUUCUUUACUAAAUAAAAUAGAGAAACAUUAAAUAUAAAGUUAACAUUAGAUAGCAUAUUAAACUUUGGAAACAAACCCGGAGGGUUAAAUACAAAUAGAACAAAAAAUAAGUAUAAGAAAUUCAAAACUAUAUUAUAAUUUUUUCCCAUGUAUUAUUUGUGUGAUCAAAUUUCAAUAUUUUAACUAAAAUGACCCAAAAUGUAUAUACAACUACCACUGAUAAAUUUGUAAAACUUUAUAAGCAUCAAAUAAAAAUUUGAAAAAUAAAGAAUACAAAUUGAUUACAUUAAAAUAAUUAUAAAAAUAACUCAGUUUAUUUUCAUCUUAUUUGUUAUGUUAAUUGUGUUGUUUUACAUAUAGUUUAAAUAUGCUUUACAUGAACAUAAAUUCUAUGAUACAAUUGAAAAAAUAAACCCAAAUUAAAAUUUGGAAAUUUACACAAUAUUCAAUUUAAAUUGGUAACAAAUAAACUGUUCCAAAUUUAGUUAGAAAUAAUAUAUUACUAAAUUUUUAUAUAUAAAUAAAACAAAUUUAAAAUAUGUAAUCCGCGCGCCAUAAAUAGUUGAUAUCUUAUUCUAAAUUUUAUCAUUGAAAAAUAUGUUUUAAGAUAACAACACAAUAUAUAAGAAUUAUCUUAUUUCUUAGUUGCACCAAAAAGAAUUAUCUUUUUUUUAAUCUUUUAUUAUUAAGAAAAUUCGUUUUCGAUUAUAUAUAUAAUUAAUUAUAUUAAAAGUUUAUUAAAUGUAUCAUCGACUUUGACCACUCUAAUUUGUGAAGUGAGAACUCGAUUGCGAAAACUUAUUUCGCAUUAUAUCGAAAUUUUAAAUGAAGCAUUCACAUAUUAGAAAUAUUUUAUAAAAUAUAUUUAUACAAAAUGUGUUAGUUGAUUAAUAUUUAUUUACAAAUUGUUUAUAUGUUCUAACUUUUAUAAUUAAUAAAAUAUUUUUUUAAGAUAGCAACACAAUACAUAUAAGAAUUAUCUAAUUUAAAAUAUUGUAAAAAUAAAAAUUAUAAUAGUAUCAAUAAUUUUUUUAAUUAUAUAAUUAAUUAUAUAUAAAUUUCAUCAAGGAUAAAACUGAUUUUAACCAUUUAAUUAUUAUAAAUGGUUUGAUAUCUUAUUUUAAAUUUUAUAAUUGAAAAUAUGUUUUAAGAUAACAACACAAUAUAUAAGAAUUAUCUUAUUUUGUAAAAACAAAUAUUAUUAAGAAAAUUUUGUUUUUGAUUAUAUAUAAAUUAAUUAAUUAUUUAAAUAUUUAAUUUUGAUAAUAAUUAUGUAGAAAGAGGUUUUUAAGACACAAGGUAUGAUAACAAGAGUUACAAGAACUAUAUUUUCCAAUGUGUUACAAGAGCUAGAUUUUGAACACAAUUAUUCGUCAAAAUUAUUGAGUAUUCACGUGGGUAAUAUAAUACAUGAUCCUAACUCAUGUGAUUAAGAAAAAUCCAAAAGAAAAUAAUAUUUGAUAAGUUAUUUAGGUGUCAAAAAUGAUUACAAAAUCAUUGACAUUUUACAUAAAAAAUAAAAUAAUAUAUUGGAGUAAAAAUCAACUCUAUUUUAGUAUUAUAUUAUUAUAAAAUAAAAUUUAGAAUAAUACUUGUGAAGUGCUUUAAUGGCCGCAUUGUUUACUGAACUACCACAUUUAAACACAUGAUUUAGUAUAUCAUUUUCUCAGUAAAACGUUAAGGUUAUUUGGUGUUGGUCAUAAGAACUAUCAAAACAUGAGUACGUUUCAAUCACCUAUCCUACCAUUUUUUUCUCUUUCAAAUGCUUAAAAACAUAGGAGUUAUGAUUAAUAAAACAAUACGAUAGAUUUUUAAAAUGAUUGCAGCUUCUUUUUUUCAAAAGACUUAAUCUCUUUCUUACAAUAUUUAUGAUAACUCUGUUACAAAAAACAAAUUAUGAUAAUUUAAACUACUCUCUUUGUUUUUUAACAAUUGCACAAAUUUAAUAAUCAUCAACUUUUCCAUAAUUUUGAAAAAAAAUACAAUGUUCUCAGUCACCAGACAAAAACAUUGAACCUAUGAUCGUAAAUUAAAAUAUCUAUACACUUUUUCGCGCGUAGCGCGGAGAAAAACUCUAGUUAAUUCUAAUAUCAUUUAUGUCAUAUUUUGUGCUUUGAUUUUAAUUUUUAAAAAUAAUUAUAAAUGGUUUGUCCUCAUUAAUAUAUAUUUUUAUUUCUCACCAUUGUUUUCUCAUAAAAAACAACAAGAACAACUAACACUUUUAUACAACAUUCUAUAGUUCAAAAUAUGGCUACAUCAACUAAUACAAAUUAGACCAAAAGAUAAUCACCCCGCGCGUAGCGCGGGCACACCACUAGUAUGGUAAUAUAUUAGCUAUUGAAUAACAUAAGAGAUAUUUUGUGUUUUGAAACAUUCAAAAAUACUUAACUUUAGUUUUUUGUUUUCAUUUUUAUUUGACAUAUAAAAUAUCAAAUUACAAAUUAGACUAUUUAACCAUUUUUGCAACAAUUUAAGAAUUAUGACAUAAUAAGAAUAUCAAAACUUAAAAUUCAUAUGUAUUUAAAUAUGAAUAAUAAAAAUAAACUUUAAAUCUAAAUUAAA
Brassica rapa (field mustard) is the source of this 4766-nucleotide RNA transcript. It is a transcript of the gene named uracil phosphoribosyltransferase, chloroplastic, with no coding region annotated. Lineage: Eukaryota; Viridiplantae; Streptophyta; Magnoliopsida; Brassicales; Brassicaceae. The record is from RefSeq and is a predicted model, not a curated record.